CUGAAGUAUAUCUCAUGAUAAAAGGGCUGUGAGAAGAAUUUCUGUAGUCCUGAUGCAGUUGUGCACCAGUAAGCAGAUUGUUCAUUGGACAGAAUGGCUCUACGAGAGGCAACACUUUUAGGAAUAAUUAUUGUAUUCUCAGGCCACAUUCACUCUGUGUUUACAACUCAAAAUGUAUGUAAGACGUAUGGCAGCGGCAUCUUUUAUACAUUCA
Cyprinus carpio (common carp) is the source of this 214-nucleotide long non-coding RNA. RefSeq lists it as uncharacterized. The record is from RefSeq and is a predicted model, not a curated record. Lineage: Eukaryota; Metazoa; Chordata; Actinopteri; Cypriniformes; Cyprinidae. The transcript has 3 exons.